AACCGCAAAGGGCUCAGUAAACCAGUUUUAAUUUACUUGAGUUUUUACGUUACGUACGUGGAUACCUGUGGUAAUUCUAGAGCUAAUACAUGCAAUUAAGUCCGGACCAGAAAUGGAAAGGACGCUUUUAUUAGAUCAAAACCAUUCGCCCAACUUGUUUGGGCGUUGUUUUGGUGAAUCUAGAUAACACUUGAGAUCGUACAGUCACCGUACUGACGACAUCUCUUUCAAACGCCUGACUUAUCAGCUGUCGAUGGUAGACUCUGUGUCUACCAUGGCCCUCACGGGUAACGGGGAAUCAGGGUUCGAUUCCGGAGAGGGAGCCUGAGAAACGGCUACCACAUCCAAGGAAGGCAGCAGGCACGCAAAUUACCCACUCCCGGCACGGGGAGGUAGUGACAAAAAAUAACGAUACGGGACUCUAUUGAGGCCCCGUAAUCGGAAUGAGUACACUUUAAAUCCUUUAACAAGGAUCCAUUGGAGGGCAAGUCUGGUGCCAGCAGCCGCGGUAAUUCCAGCUCCAAUAGCGUAUAUUAAAGUUGUUGCGGUUAAAAAGCUCGUAGUUGGUUCUGCGUGCCGCGCUGUCGGUUCGCCGCCUGUCGGUGUAACUGGCAUGUCGCGGCAUGUCCUGUCGGUGGUGAACGUUAUCCCAUUGCUGCCUGAAGCUUAAUCGCUACAGUGUCAGGAAUGCGUUGAUGGCGUUUGCCGAUCUCUCCUACUCCGGUGCUCUUAAACGAGUGUCGAGGUAGGCCGACACGUUCACUUUGAACAAAUUAGAGUGCUUAAAGCAGGCUAAAAUCUCUGCCUGAAUAGUAGUGCAUGGAAUGAUAAAAUAGGACCUCGGUUCUAUUUUGUUGGUUUUAGGAAUAUGAGGUAAUGAUCAAUGUGGACUGGCGGGGGCAUUCGUAUUGCGACGUUAGAGGUGAAAUUCUUGGAUCGUCGCAGA
This 946-nucleotide ribosomal RNA is filed under the name Bergemesa sp. RNAcentral describes it as "SSU rRNA". It matches the Rfam family "Eukaryotic small subunit ribosomal RNA", at positions 85 to 934 of the family's 1831-position model. Lineage: Eukaryota; Metazoa; Arthropoda; Insecta; Hemiptera; Reduviidae. The record is from RNAcentral.